RNAcentral lists this ribosomal RNA (223 nucleotides) under uncultured bacterium. RNAcentral's name for it is "partial 16S ribosomal RNA". It matches the Rfam family "Bacterial small subunit ribosomal RNA", at positions 524 to 746 of the family's 1533-position model. The record is from RNAcentral.
UACAGAGGGUGCAAGCGUUAAUCGGAUUUACUGGGCGUAAAGCGCGCGUAGGUGGCCAAUUAAGUCAAAUGUGAAAUCCCCGAGCUUAACUUGGGAAUUGCAUUCGAUACUGGUUGGCUAGAGUAUGGGAGAGGAUGGUAGAAUUCCAGGUGUAGCGGUGAAAUGCGUAGAGAUCUGGAGGAAUACCGAUGGCGAAGGCAGCCAUCUGGCCUAAUACUGACAC